GACGACGCUGGCGGCGUGGAUUAGGCAUGCAAGUCGAACGGUAUCAUCCUUUCGGGGGUGAGAGAGUGGCGAACUGGUGAGUAACACGUAGGUUAUCUACCCUCAAGACGGGGACAACCCAGGGAAACUUGGGCCAAUACCGGAUGUGAGCAACUUUUAGUUGUUUGAAAGGUGGCGUAAGCUGUCGCUUGGGGAUGAGCCUGCGUCCUAUUAGUUAGUUGGUGAGGUAACGGCUCACCUAGGCAAUGAUAGGUAGGCGGCCUUAACGGGUGGUCGCCCACACUGGGAUUGAGAUACGGCCCAGACUCCUACGGGAGGCAGCAGUCGAGAAUAGUCUACAAUGGUCGGAAGACUGAUAGUGCGACGCCGCGUGAACGAUGAAUCCCUUCGGGGUGUAAAGUUCUUUUAUAUGUGAGCAGUGCUUCUUAUAUUAACAGUAUGGGGAGAGAGAUAUUAGCAUAUGAAUAAGCAACGGCUAACUCCGUG
Molecule: ribosomal RNA, 486 nt
Filed under: uncultured bacterium
Lineage: Bacteria
Description: bacterial SSU rRNA
Rfam family: Bacterial small subunit ribosomal RNA
Source: RNAcentral